AGAGCGAACGCUGGCGGCAGGCCUAACACAUGCAAGUCGAACGGACCCUUCGGGGUUAGUGGCGGACGGGUGAGUAACACGUGGGAACGUGCCUUUAGGUUCGGAAUAGCUCCUGGAAACGGGUGGUAAUGCCGAAUGUGCCCUUCGGGGGAAAGAUUUAUCGCCUUUAGAGCGGCCCGCGUCUGAUUAGCUAGUUGGUGAGGUAAAGGCUCACCAAGGCUACGAUCAGUAGCUGGUCUGAGAGGAUGACCAGCCACAUUGGGACUGAGACACGGCCCAAACUCCUACGGGAGCAGCAGUGGGAAUCUG
RNAcentral lists this ribosomal RNA (309 nucleotides) under uncultured soil bacterium. RNAcentral's name for it is "bacterial SSU rRNA". It matches the Rfam family "Bacterial small subunit ribosomal RNA", at positions 26 to 364 of the family's 1533-position model. The record is from RNAcentral.